Molecule: long non-coding RNA, 343 nt
Filed under: Capsella rubella
Lineage: Eukaryota; Viridiplantae; Streptophyta; Magnoliopsida; Brassicales; Brassicaceae
Description: long non-coding RNA (CRUB_LNC004340)
Source: RNAcentral
AACUGAUACUCGAUCUUGAAGUUCUUGAAAUCUAAAUCUCGAGGAAGAGAAAAAAAUAGAUAAAACUAGAAAAUAAUUUGUUAUCUAAAAACCCCACAUAUUGGAGAUUGAUCACUCAGAGAAUAUCUCAAAGCCCUUGACUAAAAACACAAAAACUGAUGAACCACAACGAACUAAUGGAUCAAGCAAACAGCGCAACUCAUGCACUAUCUACCAAAAUGAUUUCCUAAUAUACAACUACAACACCUACCAAGGUCCAAAGCAACACAUUAGUAGUCUUUUAGUCGCUUCUCCAAAAGUAGAGCGAAUGAAAACAUUAUAUUCUUUUCUUUUACAGUUUCCU